This 1118-nucleotide ribosomal RNA is filed under the name Salmonella enterica subsp. enterica serovar Chester. Its description in RNAcentral is "partial 23S ribosomal RNA". It matches the Rfam family "Bacterial large subunit ribosomal RNA", at positions 428 to 1547 of the family's 2925-position model. Lineage: Bacteria; Pseudomonadati; Pseudomonadota; Gammaproteobacteria; Enterobacterales; Enterobacteriaceae. The record is from RNAcentral.
GGUAUCCUGUCUGAAUAUGGGGGGACCAUCCUCCAAGGCUAAAUACUCCUGACUGACCGAUAGUGAACCAGUACCGUGAGGGAAAGGCGAAAAGAACCCCGGCGAGGGGAGUGAAAAAGAACCUGAAACCGUGUACGUACAAGCAGUGGGAGCACAGGUUUACCUGUGUGACUGCGUACCUUUUGUAUAAUGGGUCAGCGACUUAUAUUCUGUAGCAAGGUUAACCGAAUAGGGGAGCCGGAGGGAAACCGAGUCUUAAUUGGGCGUUAAGUUGCAGGGUAUAGACCCGAAACCCGGUGAUCUAGCCAUGGGCAGGUUGAAGGUUGGGUAACACUAACUGGAGGACCGAACCGACUAAUGUUGAAAAAUUAGCGGAUGACCUGUGGCUGGGGGUGAAAGGCCAAUCAAACCGGGAGAUAGCUGGUUCUCCCCGAAAGCUAUUUAGGUAGCGCCUCGUGAAUUCAUCUCCGGGGGUAGAGCACUGUUUCGGCUAGGGGGCCAUCCCGGCUUACCAACCCGAUGCAAACUGCGAAUACCGGAGAAUGUUAUCACGGGAGACACACGGCGGGUGCUAACGUCCGUCGUGAAGAGGGAAACAACCCAGACCGCCAGCUAAGGUCCCAAAGUCAUGGUUAAGUGGGAAACGAUGUGGGAAGGCCCAGACAGCCAGGAUGUUGGCUUAGAAGCAGCCAUCAUUUAAAGAAAGCGUAAUAGCUCACUGGUCGAGUCGGCCUGCGCGGAAGAUGUAACGGGGCUAAACCAUGCACCGAAGCUGCGGCAGCGACGCUGAUGCGUUGUUGGGUAGGGGAGCGUUCUGUAAGCCUGCGAAGGUGGCCUGUGAGGGUUGCUGGAGGUAUCAGAAGUGCGAAUGCUGACAUAAGUAACGAUAAAGCGGGUGAAAAGCCCGCUCGCCGGAAGACCAAGGGUUCCUGUCCAACGUUAAUCGGGGCAGGGUGAGUCGACCCCUAAGGCGAGGCCGAAAGGCGUAGUCGAUGGGAAACGGGUUAAUAUUCCCGUACUUGGUGUUACUGCGAAGGGGGGACGGAGAAGGCUAUGUUGGCCGGGCGACGGUUGUCCCGGUUUAAGCGUGUAGGUGUGUGUUCCAGGUAAAUCCGGUU